AGCAAAAUUUUAUUAUUCAAUGGUAACUUUAUGUUAAAUAUGCAAAUGAUUUUUGUGCUGUUGAAAUUCAAAUCGUACACUUUUAAAACCAAUUUUUAUUACUUUUUAGGUUCUUUCUGUGACAUGUUUUCAUGGUGUGGGAAUAAGACUUGGUGGUCUAAAACAGCUAAUAUGUAGGUUAGCAUCACAGCUUGUCUUAGGAUUGAGGCUGGGAAUGGUCAUUGGAGCUGAAAUUUAUGGUAACUUUUACUGUGGCUGCAUAAAAUGAUUGUGUGGUAUAACUAUAAAAAAAAAAUGUAAUUCAGACAAUUUUUGUGUAUGUUUAAGAAAAUGUGUAUAUUUUUUUGCCAAAAAAAAAAAAAAAAAAAAAAAUAUGUAAAGGUUCUCCAUUUUUAACAGGAUUGGGAGUUGUAGAUUAAAUUGUAUUUGAAAUUUUGUACUUUGAAAAAUGUAGUGAAACUGACCCAUUUUACUGUAAGAUCUACUUUAGAUACCAGUAUAUUAAUAAUGGUUCAUAUCUAGUCAAAACACUUUCAGUAGGUUAAGAAUGGAGAUUCUAAAAAGAAAAAGAGAAAAAAAGAAAAAGAAAAAAAUGAAAACAAAAAAUGUUAUUUAUUGCAAUGUAUUUUUUUGAUUUUCACGAAUUUAUAGAUACAGGCUAGUGAUACAGUAGUUGAACUACUUGGACCACUCUGCCACAGAGGUGAGAUUUUAGUACAAAAAUGUACUUAUUAUAUUAUUGAAAUGUGUUGGAUUUUUGUUAUUGAAUUAUUUUUUAAUGUUUAUUAAUCUUUUUUUGGUAAUUUUGUUCAAUGUAGCAAGGAUGUGGAGUCUUAACAGGGUGAAAGUUAUGUCAAAGGGAGGUAAUUUAUUAUACCCCUGUUAACCUCCCUCAGUGCUAGCUUUUAUUUUACUUGGAUAUUUAUGUUUGUAUAACUUUUUUUUUAAAUAUCAGAUGUAUACUAGCUAAUAUUGACUAUUAUUUAGAGCUCUGUAAUUAAAAAAAAAAUUGUAAGCAGAGCUCUAUAUAAUAGAUAUGUAGGGUGGGAGAAAUCAUGGGUAACUAAAAAUGAUUUGGUGUUAUUUUUCAAAAAGGAUCUUAGUUGAAAGUGCAUCUGAUAUUUUUUAUAUACAUAAUUUUAUUUCGAAAAAACAAAUGGACAAAAAUAGAUUGACAAGAAGAUGAGGACAGCCACCUUGGCAGCCAGCAGAGUAGCUCCAUGGAAGAUGGUUAAAUAAAUCUUCAACCAAGUCUGAGGCUCUAAUUAGAAAAUAAUAA
This is a long non-coding RNA of Mytilus californianus (California mussel), 1279 nucleotides long. RefSeq lists it as uncharacterized. The transcript has 4 exons. Lineage: Eukaryota; Metazoa; Mollusca; Bivalvia; Mytilida; Mytilidae. The record is from RefSeq and is a predicted model, not a curated record.